This 468-nucleotide ribosomal RNA is filed under the name uncultured bacterium. RNAcentral describes it as "partial 16S ribosomal RNA". It matches the Rfam family "Bacterial small subunit ribosomal RNA", at positions 28 to 507 of the family's 1533-position model. The record is from RNAcentral.
GACGAACGCUGGCGGCGUGCUUAACACAUGCAAGUCGAACGGAGAAGCUCCGGGUUUCUGGCUUGGAUGAUUGGCGAACGCGUGAGUGACACGUGAGCAACCUGCCCCUGACUCAGUGAGAAACGCUGGAGAAGGCGGCUCAUACUGGGUACGAUAAGGUUACGCAUGGGCACUUUCUGGAAAGUUGUGCGUUGGUGGAUCGGCUCGCAGCCUAUCAGCUUGUUGGGGAGGUAAGGGCUCACCAAGGCGACGACGGGUAGCCGGCAUGAGAGGGCGACCGGCCACAAUGGGACUGAGAGACGGACCAGACUGCUACGGGCGGCAGUAGUGGGGAAUAUUGCACAACGGGCGAAAGCCUGAUGCAGAGACGCCGCGUGCGGGAUGACGGCUUUCGGGUUGUAAACCUAUUUCAGCAGGGAAGAAGCGAAAGUGACGGUACCUGCAGAAGAAGCAACGGCUAACUACGUG